This is an RNA transcript of Canis lupus familiaris (dog), 2835 nucleotides long. It is a transcript of the gene named secretory carrier membrane protein 4, with no coding region annotated. The record is from RefSeq and is a predicted model, not a curated record. The transcript has 8 exons. Lineage: Eukaryota; Metazoa; Chordata; Mammalia; Carnivora; Canidae.
CCGCCCCUGGAACUACGCUCCCGUCGUGCCCCGCGGCGCGGGCGGAGGCGGGGCAGGCGGUCGGUUGCUAGGACUUGGCAGGCGCAGCGCUCGCGUGUGGCGCUUCAGGUGGCUGCAGCCUUCUGCCCCGCCCAGCUGUCAAGCGGAAAUGUCUGAAAAGGAGAACAACUUCCCGCCGCUGCCCAAGUUCAUCCCCCUGAAGCCCUGCUUCUACCAGAACUUCUCCGACGAGAUACCCAUUGAGCACCAGCUCCUGGUGAAGAGGAUCUACCGGCUGUGGCUGUUCUACUGUGCCACCCUGGGGGUCAACCUCAUUGCCUGCCUGGCCUGGUGGAUCGGCGGCGGCUCGGGAGCCAACUUUGGCCUGGCCUUGGUCUGGCUGCUGCUCUUCUCUCCCUGUGGCUACGUGUGCUGGUUCCGGCCCGCGUACAAGGCCUUCCGAGCCGACAGCUCCUUCAACUUCAUGGCGUUCUUCUUCAUCUUCGGAGCGCAGUUUGUCCUGACCGUCAUCCAGGCGAUCGGCUUCUCGGGAUGGGGCGCAUGUGGUUGGCUGUCAGCAAUCGGGUUCUUCCAGACCAGCGUCGGGGCCGCCGUGGUCAUGCUCUUUCCAGCCAUCCUGUUCUCCGUGUCCGCUGCCAUGAUGGCCAUUGUGAUCGUGAAGGUACACAGGAUCUACCGGGGGGCGGGCGGAAGCUUCCAGAAGGCACAGACCGAGUGGAACACGGGCGUUUGGCGGAACCCACCGUCCAGAGAGGCUCAGUACAACAACUUCUCAGGGAAUAGCCUGCCCGAGUACCCCACCGUGCCCAGCUACCCGGCUUCUGGCAGCCAGUGGCCGUAGGGGGGGCUGCGUGGCCCCACGGCCUGCCCACCUGCCCCCGUCGCCAUCCUCUCCUCCCCCGGCCAGGGCAGCAGAGCCCAGGAGCACUUGGGGACCCGUGUUUGUGUUCAUCUCACCUUCGGGAGGGAGGUCCUCGCAAGCGCCGCCCAGAAACCGUCCAGCCUCUGCUGCCUGGCAGGAGGAUGCCCCUGCCACACGUCACGUUCGGUCGUCAUGCUAUCCACACCCUCUCCUGCCCGGGCCAUCUGAGGGCCGACACAGGCCUCCCCAGGGAGAAGGUGGCAGCAGGCCAGCUGCCUGCCUUCCAGAGCUGAUGGCUCUGAGGACGACUGGCCUCGUGUCCACCCGCGUGUUCUGUCCCGGGGUGUGGCCCUCGGGCCUUCUCCCCCUGUUCCUGUCCCUGUGGGCGAUGGGGUCUUGGCUGGGUCCCUCACGACCUCCUCCUCCUGUGUCUCUGCCCACCUGGGGCUAGAGGGCCCUUGUGAACAGCCUACGGGGUCAGCCAGAGGCAUUUAGCUGCCGGGGCACCAUGAUCUGAGCCCCUGUCCAUCUGUCUGUCCGCCCCACGUGCUCUGGGUUCCGUGGCCACUGUGCAGGGCCGUUGGCCAGCCUGCCUCCAGCCUGCCCACCUGCAGCGGCUCUCCUCCUGGGAACUUCGAGUGGACCUCUGUGGAGAUCCCAGCACUGGGGCGGGUCCCAUGGGGAGGACGGGGCCGCUGGGCUCUCCCUGCUGUGCAGACCGCGGGGUGCAGACCGGGGGACACCAGUGGCACCUGCAGAGUGGGUGUGACUGCGCCUCCACGGCCCAGCCGCGCCUCGGAGCCUCUGACCCCACUGUUGCUCGAGCUGCACGAAGCAGGAGCCUGAGUUUCUCCAGAGAAUGGCUUUGUAGAAGGAACGAAGAUGUGACAAAUCUGUGCCUUAACGAGGAACCUAAGCAAGACGCCAGAAGGACCGGAGUGUCCCCGGCCACCUCGGCAGCGCCCUGAAGUGCAGAAAACGAGAAACCAGCAUCCCUUGCCAUGAAAGAAAAGUAACAGAGGUGGCCAGAGUAGAAACAGGAAGGUCUCAGCAGCCCAGCUGGAGGGGCCCUGUUGGUGGCGGAGCAGACACUCCACAUGGACACGGGAGGGAGGGCGUGAGUCUUAGUCCACAGUUCGGAAACGAAGAGGACCAGGCCCAGCCCGAGCGGGUGGCGUGGCUGGUGGUGUGUUCCCCUCCCCACAGGUGCACGUGUGGACGUCCUGACACCAGACCUCAGGCCAGGACUGUGUUUGGGUCGGGGUCGCUGCAGGGGUACUUAGUUGGGGUGAGGUCCCACUGGAGCAGAGGGGCCCCAGAGUGAUGACGGGCAUCCUUAUAAAGGGACACGUGGAUGCAGACAGGCCGGAGGAAGCCCCGCAGAGACAGGGGUGAUGCCCCCCCCGGGGGUCAGGGUCGAGGCCGCCCCAGGAAGGCACCCAGCAGAGGCGAGGGGAGUGGAACGAGGGGCAGGGGCCUGCUGUGCCCGGGGGCUGCACCACACCUGGCAGGCCUGUCCCUGGGAUGGGCGGGGAGGCGGCGUUGGUGACAGCAGGAAGAGGAGCAGCACCCAGGCCUGGAGGGAGGAAGGGCUGUGGGCUGCCUCGGCCUCCGGGUGACCUGUCAGGACGCAGGAUGUGGCUGGAGUUGAGAGACUGAGGCCCAAGUGAGAAGUGUGCGUGGGCGGCCGCGUCCAGGAACCACGGGGUCGUAAGCCGCAGGGGUCUCCCCUCCCACCUUCUGGAGGGCAGAGCCUGGGAUCCGGGUGGGAACGGCCACCGCGGGAUGGUGGGGCUGGGGCGGGCGUCCGCGGGGCCUGACUGCCCUGCAAGGCCCGGGCGGGGCCUCCCUGCGCGCCUAACAAUGCUAACAGUGGCGUAGAACGUAAGACGACAUCUACAAAUGUGUUAACGUCAUCUAAGGAUGUGUUCGCUACACUUCAACAUUAAAAAAAUAACUUUUUUAAGAAAAGA